CUUCUAGAAUUCCGAGAGGAUUAAACAUAUUGAUGCCAGCCACCCAAUCAGAGCAAAUCGGUCUCUGCUCGGUUCUGGUCCGGAGUGAAUGACAUAGCUGCUGCGAUAACGAGCAGGACAGUUUCUCUGGUGGAGCGACUGCCUGGAAGGUGUUUGGGAUGGACGGCAAGCUGAGAUGAACAAAGAAACGACCACGGGACACGGCAUCGGCCAGCGAUGAGACGGGGAAUCACGACUUAGGCCAUGGAAUGCGGCACCAAGUGCAUCAUGGGAAGCGACGGCUCUGUGUAUCUCUCAGAUUGAGUGCCAGUUGCGAUUUGCCACACAAUGUUUCUGCUUUAAACUCAAAUUCUAAAGACGAGAUGCAACGCCGAUGGCCGUCAGUAUCGCCGGGGCGCCCCUCGCCUCUUCCCAGAAGGUAUCUGAGGACAUUUAACAAUUCAGACGUCAGGGCCCGAAAACCGCUCACAUCAGCGCUGCCUAAUCCCCUUAUAACGGAUGAAUAAAG
Molecule: long non-coding RNA, 508 nt
Organism: Brienomyrus brachyistius
Lineage: Eukaryota; Metazoa; Chordata; Actinopteri; Osteoglossiformes; Mormyridae
Exons: 3
Source: RefSeq, a predicted model, not a curated record